RNAcentral lists this ribosomal RNA (257 nucleotides) under uncultured bacterium. Its description in RNAcentral is "partial 16S ribosomal RNA". It matches the Rfam family "Bacterial small subunit ribosomal RNA", at positions 524 to 776 of the family's 1533-position model. The record is from RNAcentral.
UACGUAGGGUGCGAGCGUUAAUCGGAAUUACUGGGCGUAAAGCGUGCGCAGGCGGUGAUGUAAGACAGGUGUGAAAUCCCCGGGCUUAACCUGGGAACUGCAUUUGUCGACUGCAUCGCUGGAGUGCGGCAGAGGGGGAUGGAAUUCCGGCGUGUAGCAGUGAAAUGCGUAGAUAUGCGGAGGAACACCGAUGGCGAAGGCAAUCCCCUGGGCCUGGCACUGGACGCUCCAUCGCACGAAAGCGUGGGAGCAACAGG